CGUAGGGGGCGAGCGUUGUCCGAAGUUACUGGGCGUAAAGCGCGCGUAGGCGGGGGGUUAAGUGAGAGGUGAAAGGCUGGGGCUCAACCUCAUGCAGUGCCUCUCAUACUGGCCUUCUUGAGGGCGGUAGGGAGAAGUGGAAUGGCUGGUGUAGCGGUGAAAUGCGUAGAUAUCAGUCGGAACACCGGUGGCGAAGGCGGCUUCUUGGGCCGUUCCUGACGCUGAGGCGCGAAAGCUGGGGGAGCGAACGGGAUUAGAUACCCCGGUAGUCCCAGCCGUAAACGAUGGAUACUAGGUGUCGGGGGUAUCGACCCCCCCGGUGCCGCAGCUAACGCAUUAAGUAUCCCGCCUGGGGAGUACGGCCGCAAGGUUG
RNAcentral lists this ribosomal RNA (373 nucleotides) under uncultured organism. Its description in RNAcentral is "partial 16S ribosomal RNA". It matches the Rfam family "Bacterial small subunit ribosomal RNA", at positions 526 to 896 of the family's 1533-position model. The record is from RNAcentral.